AUACAUGGCAUACUCUGGCAUUGCUCUCAGAGCAGGUGGAUUCAAACACCUUUCAUAUUCACACCAAACUAUAAACUGCUUGUGCCUAUCACCAGGAUGAGGGGGAAAUAGUCAUGCAAAAGACUGAUUCACUGAGGCUUACCUGUUAAAUGCUCACAGAACAAGCCCACUGUGGUAUUUUGCAUCAUAAAACUUAUGAAGAAGUAAAUGCAUCCACACAAUAAUGAGCCAUUAUGGCUCAUUAGAGGUUCAGCUUGCAAAGUCCAAAGUGUACAAACAGAGGCAUUUAGGACAAAUCUGAACUGAGCACUGUACCCUGCCCUCUACCUGAACCAGCCCUUUACACAUAUCUGGUAAAUGAUUUAUAAACCUUAAGAUAACAAAGUAUAAAACCUCUUUUUCUUCUUCUAUCGCUCUCUUCACUUUACAAAGGAAACCCUUUCUGAAUAACUUGCCAUGUCUCUGAAAAUGUAUCAAAUUUUGGUGUCUGUUCUGCUGUUUACAGCUUCUGUUUCAAGUGUUCUUGGAGCGCCCUUUCUGACAGAAGAAUCAGCAAAUCAAUUCAUACGGCUCAAACGACACAUCCCGUAUUCUCCGAGCUACUGGGACUCAAGCAGCAGCCAGAACACGUGGGGAUACAAACGUGUGGCUGAACAGGUUAGUGAAUCAUGGGCAGCUCUGAGAGAAACAGCACAAUACUACAUGGACUUGGACCCUUUUGCCUUCGAUCCCUCGACAGCCGUGUUCGAUGGGCUUUCUGAACAGAGCAUUUCAUAGACUCGGAGCCUGUGUGUACCAAACAACAACAUCAGAUCCUACAUGGAGCUACUACAGCGGUCUGGGACUCACCUCCAGCAACAAGCUAUUAAAUCCUACACAUCUUGUAUCUGGCCAUGUUAGGAUAUGGCAUGUUAUGUAUUUGCCAUUAUGUAUUGAUAAGAUGACUUUAUCUCAUCCCACUUGGGUCUAAACCCAAAAUUAAUACAGUAAUUCUCUGCAUAAAUACUGCAUAUUUUAUAUUCAUAAGUAGAACUGAGACAUUGGUCAUGGCAAAUUGAAUAAGAAGUUGAAGAAAACCAACUGUGAAAUUUUAGCAGGUUUGGUUUAAAAAUGCCUAGUGUUUCCAGGUAAAACAUUCCUUUGACUAAACGAUUGAAGAUGUACAUUUCUGCUUCUGUGACUGAAAACCACAUUUUUACUGCUCAGGAUUUUCCUUUAGCUACAUUUUUGAGAGGCAAAUAAGAAAUGAAAAUCAGUCACUUUGGAUGAGUGAGAGAAGUAGAGCACAUUUGCUUCAGGUAUACUUCUGUGGUUCAAUGCAUUUCCAUUUAUUCAAGUACUAGUAGUGUUGUAGUACACAUCCAUUCAUGUCAACGCUUCUCUUUCCUCAUUUAAUCUUCUGUACUUGGUCUUGAGUGCCAAAACCCACUGAACUCACAGCUACUACUAUGAGAUGUUUUUUCUAACUCCACAGCUAUUGGAAAUGGUGGAAACAUUCACGGCUCCUUUUCUAAAAAGCAAAUGGUGGUGACAAAUGUUCUUUAUGCCAUGUUCUUGAGCUUGGAAGUUUUCUGUUCAUUAAAACAGUUCAUUAAUGUACUUUAUUUCAGAACAUCUUUGAAGAGAGGAUUAGGCUUCUGUGUUUCUUUUGUAUGUUAUUAAUAUAAUGUUAACAAUUAAAAGCUUUUUCAAACUUGGCCAAAUUUUUUGCAUGAAUAAAGACCUAUUGAGGAAAACA
Parus major (Great Tit) is the source of this 1738-nucleotide long non-coding RNA. The record is from Ensembl. NCBI's taxonomy places the organism in Eukaryota, Metazoa, Chordata, Aves, Passeriformes, Paridae.